AUGGCGACGACGGCGGCGGGUGAACUUGCGGAGGUGGAUCCAGAGGUAAAGGAAGAUGGGGGCACGAGGGGAGGCAAGCUAGGGUUUGGGAGGGGCGUCGGUCGACUUGUAGGCAGGGCAGGGGUGCGGAUGGCCGCCGGGAGGCCAUCCAUGGCCAUGGGCGGCUGCACGACAGCCACCGAGUCCCUGAUGAAUAGAGGUCAUCAUGACGAAGUCAUCAUCCUUUCUUCCGGAUCUUCAUCGUCCUACGAACGCGAUAAGAGGGAAAACUCUGGAAGAACGCAUCUCCACAAAGUUGGGCAUCUG
Molecule: ribosomal RNA, 306 nt
Filed under: Triticum aestivum (bread wheat)
Lineage: Eukaryota; Viridiplantae; Streptophyta; Magnoliopsida; Poales; Poaceae
Description: partial small subunit ribosomal RNA
Source: RNAcentral